This 24-nucleotide non-coding RNA is filed under the name Arabidopsis thaliana (thale cress). Lineage: Eukaryota; Viridiplantae; Streptophyta; Magnoliopsida; Brassicales; Brassicaceae. The record is from RNAcentral.
UCGGUUGGGGAAGACACUAUCUUC